Molecule: small RNA, 941 nt
Filed under: Histoplasma capsulatum
Lineage: Eukaryota; Fungi; Ascomycota; Eurotiomycetes; Onygenales; Ajellomycetaceae
Also listed under: 1 other name
Description: hypothetical RNA
Source: RNAcentral
UGACCCAGAUACCCCGUAUUCUUACCCCUGAGUUAUCUGCCUACCUACCUACCUAUCUACUUCAAUGAAUGAUAUUCACUGACGAUAUAUAUAUUCUAUUGAUGAGUUCCAACGGCGUUGAUGCUCAGCAUUUGCCAUGGUUAGGAAAUUUGAUGUUCAAUAUCUAAAACCCGUAGGGGUAAGAAUAUGGGGCGAAACGCUUCUAUUCAGUUCGUUUACCUUCGUUCUGGCCUUAAAAUUUAAGGAAUGAUCGCCACGAACAAAAAAAUAUAGUCUUUAGUUAUUCUACCGAAAGUAAAAUGCCUCGUUAAGAUAUUCUUUGCCACGCUUCAAUUUGCUUUUUUUGUUCAAUCAUUAGAGCAAUCAACAGAUCGGUUCGAGAACAUGUAGAAGAAUAAAAAAUAAAUCUAUAUACAGACUAGAGAAUUGCUUGAGAAUCUCCAGGAAGUAAAACAACAGGAAACCAGGAAGCAAAACCAAAACAAAAAGGGAAUAAAAUAAAAUAGAUAAAACCAAACGAGAAAAUGGGGUAGACUGGAGCGCGAAGAGAAAUUUCUUGUCUCAGAGGGAGUGGCAAUAUGUAGGACAGAGGGAUCUGCCAGAUGAUGCGAGAGAGAGAGAGACAGAGUCAAAGUGGGCGGAAACGGGGAAAUCGGAUAUCAUUCGGGAGAACCUUUCUGACUGAAAGGGCAAUUCGUCUCCAUUUCCAAAUCCGUGGUAUAUUUCGAGAAAUGACGACAGAGGGAUGAAGGGGCGGUAGAUAAUAGCGGCUGUAUGAUAACAUUGAGCUGCUAUAACUGAGGACGAGAGGCGAAAUGGAAGAAAGAGAACAGAGAAUGAUCAAAGCGCUGAAAUCCACAAUGAGAAAGAGAUGUUGGUACUGUACAGACAUAAUCAGCUGACAAACGACGGAUACUGCAGUAUGUACCUUGCUAUUGGGC